AGCUCCGUGGUCGAGUGGAUUUAUGACACUUCCCUCCUAAGGAAGAGAUCCGGGUUCGAUUCCCGGCGGAGCUG
This 74-nucleotide transfer RNA is filed under the name Candidatus Iainarchaeum sp. RNAcentral describes it as "tRNA-Arg". It matches the Rfam family "tRNA". From Rfam's summary of the family: Transfer RNA (tRNA) molecules are approximately 80 nucleotides in length. Their secondary structure includes four short double-helical elements and three loops (D, anti-codon, and T loops). Lineage: Archaea; Nanobdellati; Candidatus Iainarchaeota; Candidatus Iainarchaeia; Candidatus Iainarchaeales; Candidatus Iainarchaeaceae. The record is from RNAcentral.